GUGGGGAAUAUUGGACAAUGGGCGAAAGCCUGAUCCAGCCAUGCCGCGUGUGUGAAGAAGGUCUUCGGAUUGUAAAGCACUUUAAGUUGGGAGGAAGGGCAGUAAGUUAAUACCUUGCUGUUUUGACGUUACCGACAGAAUAAGCACCGGCUAACUUCGUGCCAGUAGCCGCGGUAAUACGAAGGGUGCAAGCGUUAAUCGGAAUUACUGGGCGUAAAGCGCGCGUAGGUGGUUCAGCAAGUUGGAGGUGAAAUCCCCGGGCUCAACCUGGGAACUGCCUCCAAAACUACUGAGCUAGAGUACGGUAGAGGGUAGUGGAAUUUCCUGUGUAGCGGUGAAAUGCGUAGAUAUAGGAAGGAACACCAGUGGCGAAGGCGACUACCUGGACUGAUACUGACACUGAGGUGCGAAAGCGUGGGGAGCAAACAGGAUUAGAAACCCCAGUAGUCC
RNAcentral lists this ribosomal RNA (450 nucleotides) under uncultured bacterium. Its description in RNAcentral is "bacterial SSU rRNA". It matches the Rfam family "Bacterial small subunit ribosomal RNA", at positions 354 to 796 of the family's 1533-position model. The record is from RNAcentral.